CUCCGGUUGAUCCCGCCGGACCCGACUGCUAUCAGAGUGGGACUAAGCCAUGCGAGUCAACGUAGCAAUACGUGGCAUACGGCUCAGUAACACGUAGUCAACAUGCCCAGGGGACGAGGAUAACCUCGGGAAACUGAGGAUAAACCUCGAUAGGCCAUGAUUUCUGGAAUGAUUCUUGGCUCAAACCUAUAUGGCCCCUGGAUUGGACUGCGGCCGAUCAGGCUGUUGGUGAGGUAAUGGCCCACCAAACCUAUUACCGGUACGGGCUCUGAGAGGAGGAGCCCGGAGAUGGGCACUGAGACAAGGGCCCAGGCCCUAUGGGGCGCAGCAGGCGCGAAACCUCUGCAAUAGGCGAAAGCUUGACAGGGUUACUCUGAGUGAUUUCCGCUAAGGGAAUCUUUUGGCACCUCUAAAAAUGGUGCAGAAUAAGGGGUGGGCAAGUCUGGUGUCAGCCGCCGCGGUAAUACCAGCACCCCGAGUGGUCGGGACGAUUAUUGGGCCUAAAGCAUCCGUAGCCGGUCCUGCAAGUCUUCCGUUAAAUCCAGCUGCUCAACAGAUGGGCUGCGGGAGAUACUACAGGGCUAGGAGGCGGGAGAGGCAAGCGGUACUUUAUGGGUAGGGGUAAAAUCCGCUGAUCCAUAGAAGACCACCAGUGGCGAAGGCGGCUUGCCAGAAUGCGCUCGACGGUGAGGGAUGAAAGCUGGGGGAGCAAACCGGAUUAGAUACCCGGGUAGUCCCAGCCGUAAACGAUGCAGACUCGGUGAUGGGUUGGCUUCGCGCUAACCCAGUGCCGCAGGGAAGCCGUUAAGUCUGCCGCCUGGGUAGUACGGUCGCAAGACUGAAACUUAAAGGAUUGGCGGGGGAGCA
Molecule: ribosomal RNA, 867 nt
Filed under: uncultured archaeon
Lineage: Archaea
Description: bacterial SSU rRNA
Rfam family: Archaeal small subunit ribosomal RNA
Source: RNAcentral